Molecule: long non-coding RNA, 691 nt
Organism: Myotis davidii
Lineage: Eukaryota; Metazoa; Chordata; Mammalia; Chiroptera; Vespertilionidae
Exons: 4
Source: RefSeq, a predicted model, not a curated record
UAAUGUUCUUAUUGUGAUGACUGAUGUUUGAUGUUGUUCCUCUGUUUUGCGUUGCCUUUUCCAAUAGGUUUCAUGUCUUCUCAACUGCCUGCUUUUCUGUCCCUUCCCCCAUUCUCUCUGCGGUGUUUAGCACUGUCUAAUGUUAAGCCAAUGUCCCUCUUCUUCCCAAAAAAGUUGCUUGUAAUUUUUCUUCAUAGAAUAGUUUUUCCAGAAAACACGUGUUUGGUAAACUUUGAGUCUUUUUAUGCCUGAAAAUAUCUUUCAUGCUCACAUUUUAAUGAUAUUUGGUUUAUCACCUUGCAUCUGGGGUUGCUGAUAAGAAGACUGAUGUCUGAUUAUACUUCCUUUAUUUAAGCCUGCCUGGCUGAGUGGCCUGGGAGUCCUGCUGCAGUGCCUCAGCCAGUCUCCACCUCCACUACCACUACCACACCAGACCUGUCUUCAGAAUCUGAUUCCUCAGGUCAAUGCUCAACCGCUGGGCCUAAACCCCAGUGUGGCUGCUUGUGCCACAGCAUCCUGGAUGAGUUGCUAACCCCUCUGCCGCCCCCCACCCUUCCAUUUCUUCACCUGUGAGGUGAGAAUGACAAUAGGUCCUACUUUAAGGAAACUGUGGAUGUUUAAAAGUAUCUAUAAAAUGCUUACCACAAAGCCUGAAAUGGACAAACAUUAUUCAUAAAUUAUCUAGGUUAUA